AUGUGCUACCAGGUGAAGUGCGGCACGUGCGGCAAGUCCACGUGGGCGGGGUGCGGCCGCCACGUGGCCUCCGUCCACCGCCAGAUCCCCGAGGGCCAGCACUGCGCCUGCCGCGACUGGCCGGGCGUCUCCGCCGCCGGCGACAAGGCCGCCGGCUCCACCUCCGGCGCCGUCCAGGAGUCCUCCACCUGCGCCAUCCUGUGA
This 204-nucleotide ribosomal RNA is filed under the name Triticum aestivum (bread wheat). RNAcentral describes it as "partial small subunit ribosomal RNA". The record is from RNAcentral. Lineage: Eukaryota; Viridiplantae; Streptophyta; Magnoliopsida; Poales; Poaceae.